This 254-nucleotide ribosomal RNA is filed under the name uncultured bacterium. Its description in RNAcentral is "partial 16S ribosomal RNA". It matches the Rfam family "Bacterial small subunit ribosomal RNA", at positions 524 to 776 of the family's 1533-position model. The record is from RNAcentral.
UACAGAGGUGGCAAGCGUUGUUCGGAAUUACUGGGCGUAAAGGGCGCGUAGGCGGCCUUCUAAGUCAGACGUGAAAUCCCCCGGGCUUAACCUGGGAACUGCGUUUGAAACUGGAAGGCUUGAGUGUGGCAGAGGGGGGUGGAAUUCCACGUGUAGCAGUGAAAUGCGUAGAGAUGUGGAGGAAUAUCAAUGGCGAAGGCAGCCCCCUGGGAUAAUAUUGACGCUCAUGCACGAAAGCGUGGGGAGCAAACAGG